UCGCGUGUGUGAAGAAGGCCUUAUGGUUGUAAAGCACUUUAAGCGAGGAGGAGGCUACUUUAGUUAAUACCUAGAGAUAGUGGACGUUACUCGCAGAAUAAGCACCGGCUAACUCUGUGCCAGCAGCCGCGGUAAUACAGAGGGUGCGAGCGUUAAUCGGAUUUACUGGGCGUAAAGCGUGCGUAGGCGGCUUAUUAAGUCGGAUGUGAAAUCCCCGAGCUUAACUUGGGAAUUGCAUUCGAUACUGGUGAGCUAGAGUAUGGGAGAGGAUGGUAGAAUUCCAGGUGUAGCGGUGAAAUGCGUAGAGAUCUGGAGGAAUACCGAUGGCGAAGGCAGCCAUCUGGCCUAAUACUGACGCUGAGGUACGAAAGCAUGGGGAGCAAACAGGAUUAGAUACCCUGGUAGUCCAUGCCGUAAACGAUGUCUACUAGCCGUUGGGGCCUUUGAGGCUUUAGUGGCGCAGCUAACGCGAUAAGUAGACCGCCUGGGGAGUACGGUCGCAAGACUAAAACUCAAAUGAAUUGACGGGGGCCCGCACAAGCGGUGGAGCAUGUGGUUUAAUUCGAUGCAACGCGAAGAACUUACUGGU
Molecule: ribosomal RNA, 589 nt
Filed under: uncultured bacterium
Lineage: Bacteria
Description: bacterial SSU rRNA
Rfam family: Bacterial small subunit ribosomal RNA
Source: RNAcentral